GCCAGUGUGGCAUAGUGGUUUGAGUAUUGGACUAUGACUCUGGAAACCAGGGUUCAAUUCCCUGCUCAACCA
Molecule: transfer RNA, 72 nt
Filed under: Phrynosoma platyrhinos (Desert horned lizard)
Lineage: Eukaryota; Metazoa; Chordata; Lepidosauria; Squamata; Phrynosomatidae
Description: tRNA-OTHER
Rfam family: tRNA
About the family: Transfer RNA (tRNA) molecules are approximately 80 nucleotides in length.
Source: RNAcentral